GUAUUGCUUACAGACUCUGAAAGUCUCCAUAUUAGGUUGAAUAUAAAACGAAAGUUAAUAUAAUCACAUAUAUUCUUGUAUAACCCACAAUGAAAAUG
Long non-coding RNA from Notothenia coriiceps (black rockcod), 98 nucleotides. RefSeq lists it as uncharacterized. The transcript has 3 exons. The record is from RefSeq and is a predicted model, not a curated record. Lineage: Eukaryota; Metazoa; Chordata; Actinopteri; Perciformes; Nototheniidae.